CAAAGGGAUUUUUCAGAAAAUAUCACGGCGACAGGCUGCUAUCCUGUGGCGUCCCAGGAACCUCCAGAGGUGCAUCCUGCUCCAGAGGUGGGUGAGAUGCCUCGGUUAAAAACACUGGAUUUGCAUUCUUGUAUUUCACGUUUCUGUCAUGCAUACAGUGUAAAGCACCCUAAGGCCAAGCAUUCUAUACAACACAGCUUUUUGGAGGUUUUGGUACAAAUUUCUGUACAUUGGCCUCACUAUGGAGUAAAUUCAGAGCUCCCUGUCACUGCUGGGGUUCUGUAUAUCAUGCCAGGCCCUCUGAUUUGCUUGA
Passer montanus (Eurasian tree sparrow) is the source of this 313-nucleotide long non-coding RNA. RefSeq lists it as uncharacterized. The record is from RefSeq and is a predicted model, not a curated record. NCBI's taxonomy places the organism in Eukaryota, Metazoa, Chordata, Aves, Passeriformes, Passeridae. The transcript is spliced from 3 exons.